This 798-nucleotide ribosomal RNA is filed under the name uncultured bacterium. RNAcentral describes it as "bacterial SSU rRNA". It matches the Rfam family "Bacterial small subunit ribosomal RNA", at positions 8 to 796 of the family's 1533-position model. The record is from RNAcentral.
AGAGUUUGAUCCUGGCUCAGAACGAACGCUGGCGGCGUGGAUAAGACAUGCAAGUCGAACGGGAGUUUAUUUAUAGCAAUAUGAGUGAACUCUAGUGGCGAAAGGGUGCGUAACACGUGGCUACCUACCUCGAAGUUGGGGAUAGCUCGGCGAAAGCCGGAUUAAUACCGAAUGUGACCGUAAGGUCAAAGUUGGGGAUCGUAAGACCUGACGCUUUGAGAUGGGGCUGCGGCCUAUCAGGUAGUUGGCGGGGUAAUGGCCCACCAAGCCUAAGACGGGUAGCUGGUCUGAGAGGACGACCAGCCACACUGGAACUGAGACACGGUCCAGACACCUACGGGUGGCAGCAGUCGAGGAUUUUUCUCAAUGGGGGAAACCCUGAAGGAGCGACGCCGCGUGAGGGAUGAAGGUCUUCGGAUUGUAAACCUCUGUCAUCUGGGAACAAUGUAAUCUACCUAACACGUGGAUUAUUGAUAGUACCGGAAGAGGAAGCAGUGGCUAACUCUGUGCCAGCAGCCGCGGUAAUACAGAGACUGCAAGCGUUGUUCGGAUUCAUUGGGCGUAAAGGGUGCGCAGGCGGUGUGCUAAGUCGGAUGUGAAAUCUCACAGCCUAACUGUGAUAGGUCAUUCGAAACUGGCAUGCUAGAGGACUGGAGAGGAGACUGGAAUGGUCGGUGUAGCGGUGAAAUGCGUAGAGAUCGACCAGAACACCGGUGGCGAAGGCGGGUCUCUGGACAGUUCCUGACGCUCAGGCACGAAAGCCAGGGGAGCAAACGGGAUUAGAUACCCCAGUAGUCC